UCUUUCAAUCCAAUUUCCAGAUGCCAUGUGGCAAUCUUAUCUUCUUAGCGAGUGAUACCUAGCUGGCAAUUCUUCCUCUCUCUUCACGUGAAUAAGGAACAAAAAGAGGGAGGCUUUUUCUCUAUCAUCCUCCAACGAUAAAAAGAAAAGAGAAUAAAAAAUAAAAAAAUAAAAGGAAAAGGGAUCCAAUAAAGAGGGUGGAGAACGGAGACCAAGAAAAACGCUCUCCUCAAUCACUCUCUCUCUGAACAUUAAAAAAGAUAAAGAAAAGAAAUCGUUUUUUCUUCUUUCCACAAAAAAAC
This 302-nucleotide long non-coding RNA is filed under the name Lathyrus oleraceus (garden pea). RNAcentral's name for it is "Pisum sativum (pea) long non-coding RNA (PSAT_LNC011125)". Lineage: Eukaryota; Viridiplantae; Streptophyta; Magnoliopsida; Fabales; Fabaceae. The record is from RNAcentral.